UCUUAUUUCCUCCCAACUAUGCACCUCUGUUAUAUGGGUUUUCUAUUUUUUAUUUUAGCACUAAUUUUGCAUUACCUUAGUCGAAAAUCUUCCUCUCCCAAAAUCUCCCAACAAACCCUACUUUCCGCAAUUUUCCUCUCUUCGUCGGCUUUAGCUAUCAAUUCUUAAAAUUAUAUUUACUGCUACAUAAGUCUCUCUCAUGCUAAAGACCCUAAAAUAGUACCACAGUUUGACGGAGAAAUUGAGUGAAGAACGACUCUUAGAUCUCUAGAUCUGCAUCGCCGUCCCUUGAUGGAAGAUAGUGGAGAUUUCAAGAGGAAGGUACAAGAAAUAACCUCAAGAUUCAAAAACGGAGUGACUGAUAUCAAGAAGGCAAAUAUUUCAUAAUAAUCUCUACUCUGUAUGUGUGGUGUGGUGUUUCAUAGAAGGUAGGAAAAAUACUUUCGCACAUGAGAAGUAGAGCUUAAAUCUGGAGAUAUUAGAGGUGGUAUUUCCUCUAAUAAUGUCAACACUCUAGAUGAGAUAUAUCAUGUAUGUGAAAAGCUGAAGCUGCCUAAGCCAUGGUUUCGACCUGGCUGCUUAGUGUCAUUUGAGAAAAAGCUAAGGGUAUUUCAGACUUUCACUGAACUUAAUGCAACGUGGCUCAAAACCUCAAACGGAAUAUCCACGUAUCAUCGGGUCACUUUGGUUCUUUGUAUAUUCUUCGGGAAUUUUUUAAGUUUUAUGUGAUGAUCCGAAAGUUCAUCACUUGUUUUAGAAAUAAAUUCUGUGUUUC
This is a long non-coding RNA of Nicotiana attenuata, 775 nucleotides long. RefSeq lists it as uncharacterized. Lineage: Eukaryota; Viridiplantae; Streptophyta; Magnoliopsida; Solanales; Solanaceae. The transcript is spliced from 4 exons. The record is from RefSeq and is a predicted model, not a curated record.